AGGAGAUGCAGGAGUUCACCCGUAGCUUCUUCCGAGGCCGCCCGGACCUCAGCACGCUUACGCAUUCCAUCGUGCGGCGGAGGUACUUAGCUCACUCGGGCCGCAGCCACCUGGAGCCCGAGGAGAAGCAGGCACUGAAGCGGCUGGUGGAGGAGGAGCUGCUGAAGAUGCAGGUGUGCCGGGCCGGAGCCUGGGCCGCGGGAGGCGGAGGCGGGGCUUGCUGCUGAGGAGGAGGGGCCUGACGGGGCGCGGUGAGCGCAGCCUUGGUGCAUAGUUUGCCCUCUUGGCGCACACACAGGUGGAUGAAGCCGCUUCCAGGGAAGACAAACUGGACCUUACCAAGAAGGGCAAGAGGCCUCCCACCCCUUGUAGCGACCCGGAGAGAAAAAGGUUCCGCUUCAAUUCAGAGUCGGGCUGGCUCAGGUCGCCGUGGAGAGGACCACCCGGCUGUGAUGAGGCUGAAGCGCUACAUUCGGGCCUGUGGUGCCCAUCGAAACUACAAGAAGCUGUUGGGCUCCUGUUGCUCACACAAGGAGCGCCUGAGUAUCCUCCGGGCAGAACUGGAAGCGCUAGGCAUGAAGGGUGAGGCCCGGCGUGCCCUGGGGGCUGCAGGAGAGGGCCUUCCUGCUGGGGAGGAGAGAAUCACCAGCUUCUUCUGCCCCAGGUACCCCUUCCCUAGGGAAGUGUCGGGCCCUGAAGGAGCAGAGGGAGGAGGCAGCUGAGGUGGCCUCCUUGGAUGUUGCGAACAUCAUCAG
RNAcentral lists this long non-coding RNA (755 nucleotides) under Homo sapiens (human). RNAcentral describes it as "non-protein coding lnc-DOC2A-3:2". The record is from RNAcentral. Lineage: Eukaryota; Metazoa; Chordata; Mammalia; Primates; Hominidae.